UACGGUCGCAAGAUUAAAACUCAAAGGAAUAGACGGGGACCCGCACAAGCGGUGGAGCAUGUGGUUUAAUUCGAAGAUACGCGAAGAACCUUACCUGGGCUUGAUAUCCUAAGAACCUUUUAGAGAUAAGAGGGUGCUAGCUUGCUAGAACUUAGAGACAGGUGCUGCACGGCUGUCGUCAGCUCGUGUCGUGAGAUGUUGGGUUAAGUCCCGCAACGAGCGCAACCCACGUAUUUAGUUGCUAACGGUUCGGCCGAGCACUCUAAAUAGACUGCCUUCGUAAGGAGGAGGAAGGUGUGGACGACGUCAAGUCAUCAUGGCCCUUAUGCCCAGGGCGACACACGUGCUACAAUGGCAUAUACAAUGAGACGCAAUACCGCGAGGUGGAGCAAAUCUAUAAAAUAUGUCCCAGUUCGGAUUGUUCUCUGCAACUCGAGAGCAUGAAGCCGGAAUCGCUAGUAAUCGUAGAUCAGCCAUGCUACGGUGAAUACGUUCCCGGGUCUUGUACUCACCGCCCGUCACACCAUGGGAGUUGAUUUCACUCGAAGCCGGAAUACUAAACUAGUUACCGUCCACAGUGGAAUCAGCGACUGGGGUGAAGUCGUAACAAGGUAACCGUAGGAGAACCUGCGGUUGGAUCACCUCCUUU
This 649-nucleotide ribosomal RNA is filed under the name Campylobacter jejuni. Its description in RNAcentral is "bacterial SSU rRNA". It matches the Rfam family "Bacterial small subunit ribosomal RNA", at positions 881 to 1533 of the family's 1533-position model. Lineage: Bacteria; Pseudomonadati; Campylobacterota; Epsilonproteobacteria; Campylobacterales; Campylobacteraceae. The record is from RNAcentral.